CAGGAAAUAGUGUAGUGGUUAACAUACCUGUUUUGGGAAUAGGUGGCGCUGGUUCAAAUCCGGCUUUCCUGA
This 72-nucleotide transfer RNA is filed under the name Rhexinema sarcinoideum. RNAcentral describes it as "tRNA-Pro". It matches the Rfam family "tRNA". From Rfam's summary of the family: Transfer RNA (tRNA) molecules are approximately 80 nucleotides in length. Their secondary structure includes four short double-helical elements and three loops (D, anti-codon, and T loops). Lineage: Eukaryota; Viridiplantae; Chlorophyta; Ulvophyceae; Ulotrichales; Helicodictyaceae. The record is from RNAcentral.